GCCGUUCAGUUAAAACACCGAACUCAUUCAACGAGUCGCUCUUGAUCGUGCUCUCAGCCAAAAAAAAAAAAAAAGUUUCUACAAACAAAAAUAUAGGUUUGGUGGUUUGUUUUGUUUUGUCGUCCCGUAUGAUUUAAUUGCAGGCUUUGGGAUAGUCCCGCUGCCUGCUAGCAGCAGUGCUCUUCCACCGCAGAGAACUAGUCCCCCUAGUGUGCCUUCGGUGCAGGAAGCGCGCUGCUGCUUGCUGGGAUCCGUCGGGGUGUAUUGUAUUAGACUGCCAGACAGCGUCUGUAUCAUUUCACCGGGGUCAUUCGCAGAAAUAACAGGAAAAUGAGGGGUGAAAGCUUGGAGCCAUUAAAACCCGUGCAGCCGUUCACCAUAAUCAUUUGCUUUUAUUAGUGAAAUGUUACAAGUGGCAAAGCAAUAUUGAGUACGAGUAGAAAGGUGGUAAAAGAGCAAAAGAAUUCUGCCAGGAAAGGAAGAAAGAAAGGAAGAGAGAAAGAAAGAGAGAAAGAAAGAAAGAGAGAAAGAGAGAGAGAAAGAAAGAAAGAGAGAAAGAAAGAAAGAGAGAGAGAAAGAAGGAAAGAAAGAAGGAAAGAAAGAAAGAAAGAAAGAAAGAAAGAAAGAAAGAAAGAAAGAAAGAAAGAAAGAAAAUAGGUGAAUGUUGUGCUUUGUCAACGUUAAAAGUGUGUGCAUCCGAGCAUCCAAACAGUCCUCAAUUACAUCUCUACACACCAACCCCGCAACUGCAUCAUAGGGCCGCCGAGAAGCACAAAUGAAGUGGUGUGAUGAAUGGAGCUGGUGAAGGUGGACUGGAAUGGUAGUGCUAGGUUUAAGUUUUAAACUGACUUUUGCUAUGACUCUUUUGUUUAAGCUGCUAAUGCAGUUUUUUAAGAAUUUCCGCGUUAUUUCCAAAUGUCAGAUAAGACCACAACAUUUUCAACUCUUCUUUAGAAGCCUGGAGGCAGUUCAGUACUAUCAGAGGACGAAUAUGGAGAAUCAGUGUGAAUAUAAAUUCCAUCAUCGUCAGGAAGUCAAAGCAUGACCCAAUCGUCUGUUUAAAUCCCAUUAAUUCACCCUAAUCUCAAGGGCUAAUCAAAUAAAGACAGUCUUCGGGCUUCAGCAGACUCUACGGAAGCACCAAGUAAACAAGUUAUCUGACCCGAAGACACACAGUUGUCCAGUUUCAAAACACUGUAUUUGUAUAUUAAAAUACUCCGAGAGCAGUGUUAGCCUGCAGUCCAGCAUUCAUUUGUCACACAGCUUCAAUAACGAUCCAUUUUCUUGGAAAAUAGUUUUGCAGGGC
This 1306-nucleotide long non-coding RNA is filed under the name Gallus gallus (chicken). RNAcentral's name for it is "lncRNA (ENSGALG00010009588.1)". The record is from RNAcentral. Lineage: Eukaryota; Metazoa; Chordata; Aves; Galliformes; Phasianidae.